RNAcentral lists this ribosomal RNA (200 nucleotides) under uncultured bacterium. RNAcentral's name for it is "partial 16S ribosomal RNA". It matches the Rfam family "Bacterial small subunit ribosomal RNA", at positions 8 to 236 of the family's 1533-position model. The record is from RNAcentral.
AGAGUUUGAUCCUGGCUCAGAACGAACGCUGGCGGCAGGCUUAACACAUGCAAGUCGAGCGCUGUAGCAAUACAGAGCGGCGCACGGGAGAGUAAUACAUGGGAACCUACCUUUUGGUUCGGAAUAACGUCGGGAAACUGACGCUAAUACCGGAUACGUCCUUCGGGAGAAAGAUUUAUCGCCGAUAGAUGGGCCCAUGU